This 244-nucleotide long non-coding RNA is filed under the name Ictidomys tridecemlineatus (thirteen-lined ground squirrel). RNAcentral describes it as "lncRNA (ENSSTOG00000031129.1)". The record is from RNAcentral. Lineage: Eukaryota; Metazoa; Chordata; Mammalia; Rodentia; Sciuridae.
CACAGCAUAGAGAUGUUUCUAUUUUUUCUGUUUCUUCAGGCACGUGCCACACCAAUACUCUGUAGUUGGCAACUCAAGCAAACUGCUGCAAAACUGAGGGAGACCACACAUCAUUGAUCUCUUGCUUCCCUGACAAAGUGAUUUAGAAUUUCUGCGCAAGCAAGGCAAGUGAAGACCUCUUUUCAAAAGAAAAGGUAAGUCCCCAGGACUGAAACGUCUCUAGGCAUGAAAACUUCUUAAAAUA